ACCAAAAGUUUGAAUAAAAAAUAGUUUUCAGGAGAAUAUGAAACAGUGCCGUUUAGAGCAAGAGGAUCCUCGCGUUGACCCAUUUCAUGGCCCGGAUCCGCGCCUCUUUAACUUAAAUGGACAUGUCUCAGAGGACGGUGUAGUAACAUCGGUGAAGUUAGAUCUUAUCUCCCUGAAGUUGCAGUAGAAUAGAUCGAAGAUUACAAACCUUAUCUCCCUAAAGUUACAGUGGAGCAG
Long non-coding RNA from Gossypium arboreum, 237 nucleotides. RefSeq lists it as uncharacterized. Lineage: Eukaryota; Viridiplantae; Streptophyta; Magnoliopsida; Malvales; Malvaceae. The record is from RefSeq and is a predicted model, not a curated record. The transcript is spliced from 3 exons.